AUUGAACGCUGGCGGCAGGCCUAACACAUGCAAGUCGAGCGGAUGAAGGGAGCUUGCUCCUGGAUUCAGCGGCGGACGGGUGAGUAAUGCCUAGGAAUCUGCCUGGUAGUGGGGGAUAACGUCCGGAAACGGGCGCUAAUACCGCAUACGUCCUGAGGGAGAAAGUGGGGGAUCUUCGGACCUCACGCUAUCAGAUGAGCCUAGGUCGGAUUAGCUAGUUGGUGGGGUAAAGGCCUACCAAGGCGACGAUCCGUAACUGGUCUGAGAGGAUGAUCAGUCACACUGGAACUGAGACACGGUCCAGACUCCUACGGGAGGCAGCAGUGGGGAAUAUUGGACAAUGGGCGAAAGCCUGAUCCAGCCAUGCCGCGUGUGUGAAGAAGGUCUUCGGAUUGUAAAGCACUUUAAGUUGGGAGGAAGGGCAGUAAGUUAAUACCUGGCUGUUUUGACGUUACCAACAGAAUAAGCACCGGCUAACUUCGU
Molecule: ribosomal RNA, 483 nt
Filed under: uncultured bacterium
Lineage: Bacteria
Description: partial 16S ribosomal RNA
Rfam family: Bacterial small subunit ribosomal RNA
Source: RNAcentral